Molecule: small RNA, 69 nt
Filed under: Acididesulfobacillus acetoxydans
Lineage: Bacteria; Bacillati; Bacillota; Clostridia; Eubacteriales; Peptococcaceae
Description: Peptococcaceae bacterium INE non-coding RNA
Source: RNAcentral
GUUUCAAUUCCUCAUAGGCAGGCUAUCGGCGGCGUUACACUCGCUGAUACGGCCUGUUGACUCUCUGAG